AAACAUAUUGGUGCCAGCCAGCCUCAGAAACUUGAGCCUUGCUUAGUCCAUUUUCUGGAAUGUUCUUUUCCAGAUCCUUAUGUGGCUGUCUUCUGCUUAUUCUCUCAGGAGAUCUUAUCUUGAAGCAUUAAGAGCAAGAACACUGGAGCCAGCCUGCCUGGGCUCAAACCCCAGCUCUGUGUGCCUGAGUGGAUGGACAGUUAUGAAAAUCAAAUAAGCCAGUGCAUGUAAAAUCUUAGAAUAAUGCCUAUUGCAUGAGGUGAUAGAGAUCUGGCUUCUCACAGACAGCAGAACUUCAAAAGGAAUUGAGUUAUGGAUAAUGAUGAUGAAGAGCUCAGCAGAGCCAUGAAGACCGGAAGAUAAAACCGGUGCCAAGUCAGUUACAGACUUCCCAUCCUGACUGCUCACCAUGUGGACCAGGGUAACUUCAGCCGGAGAGCAGCAUAGGGUGUCCUGAUGUCUGGCAUGCUGCCUGGUGGGCAAUCCUCCAUCCAUUACCCUGUUGGUUCUUCCAUUUGGCCAUCGGUCCCCAGUCUAGGGAGUGCCAGAGGCCAAGGCAACCAGGAGCAGCUGGGGCACCUCCCAGGCCAGCCUGUCCCCUUCCUGCCCACACCAACCAGGCAGCCUCUUCCUCCUGCCCACUGCUUGCACCAGCUUCUCUACCCAGAGA
Molecule: long non-coding RNA, 670 nt
Organism: Homo sapiens (human)
Lineage: Eukaryota; Metazoa; Chordata; Mammalia; Primates; Hominidae
Exons: 3
Source: RefSeq, a predicted model, not a curated record